RNAcentral lists this ribosomal RNA (244 nucleotides) under uncultured Staphylococcus sp. RNAcentral's name for it is "partial 16S ribosomal RNA". It matches the Rfam family "Bacterial small subunit ribosomal RNA", at positions 96 to 334 of the family's 1533-position model. Lineage: Bacteria; Bacillati; Bacillota; Bacilli; Caryophanales; Staphylococcaceae. The record is from RNAcentral.
CGGCGGACGGGUGAGUAACACGUGGAUAACCUACCUAUAAGACUGGGAUAACUUCGGGAAACCGGAGCUAAUACCGGAUAAUAUAUUGAACCGCAUGGUUCAAUAGUGAAAGACGGUUUUGCUGUAACUUAUAGAUGGAUCCGCGCCGCAUUAGCUAGUUGGUAAGGUAACGGCUUACCAAGGCAACGAUGCGUAGCCGACCUGAGAGGGUGAUCGGCCACACUGGAACUGAGACACGGUCCAG